GCGUUGGUGGUUCAGUUGUAGAAUUCUCGCCUUCCACGCGGGAGACCGGGGUUCGAUUCCGCACCAACGCA
This is a non-coding RNA of Paramuricea clavata, 71 nucleotides long. Lineage: Eukaryota; Metazoa; Cnidaria; Anthozoa; Malacalcyonacea; Plexauridae. The record is from the annotation of a GenBank genome assembly.